CGUAAGGCGCCGAAUGAGUCAUUAAAAAAUUAACAUCAUCCGAUCCCUAGUCGGCAUAGUUUAUGGUUAAGACUACGACGGUAUCUGAUCGUCUUCGAUCCCCUAACUUUCGUUCUUGAUUAAUGAAAACAUCCUUGGCAAAUGCUUUCGCAGUAGUUAGUCUUCAAUAAAUCCAAGAAUUUCACCUCUGACAAUUGAAUACUAAUGCCCCCAACUAUCCCUAUUAAUCAUUACGUCAAUCCUAGAAACCAACAAAAUAGGAUCGAACGUCCUAUUUCAUUAUUCCAUGCUAAUGUAUUCAAGCGUUAGCUUGCUUUAAACACUCUAAUUUUUCAAAGUAACAGUCCAAAUUCCCAAAACACAAAAUUAAUGGCAUUAAGGUUCAUCAGGAAGGAGGAAUCAGUGAGAUCAGUACAUACCAGAGGCAUGACCAACCUAUUAACCCCG
Molecule: ribosomal RNA, 447 nt
Filed under: uncultured Glomus
Lineage: Eukaryota; Fungi; Glomeromycota; Glomeromycetes; Glomerales; Glomeraceae
Description: partial 18S ribosomal RNA
Source: RNAcentral